GAUGAACGCUGGCGGCGUGCCUAAUACAUGCAAGUCGAGCGAACGGACGAGAAGCUUGCUUUUCUGAUGUUAGCGGCGGACGGGUGAGUAACACGUGGAUAACCUACCUAUAAGACUGGGAUAACUUCGGGAAACCGGAGCUAAUACCGGAUAAUAUUUUGAACCGCAUGGUUCAAAAGUGAAAGACGGUCUUGCUGUCACUUAUAGAUGGAUCCGCGCUGCAUUAGCUAGUUGGUAAGGUAACGGCUUACCAAGGCAACGAUGCAUAGCCGACCUGAGAGGGUGAUCGGCCACACUGGAACUGAGACACGGUCCAGACUCCUACGGGAGGCAGCAGUAGGGAAUCUUCCGCAAUGGGCGAAAGCCUGACGGAGCAACGCCGCGUGAGUGAUGAAGGUCUUCGGAUCGUAAAACUCUGUUAUUAGGGAAGAACAUAUGUGUAAGUAACUGUGCACAUCUUGACGGUACCUAAUCAGAAAGUCACGGCUAACUACGUG
RNAcentral lists this ribosomal RNA (497 nucleotides) under uncultured bacterium. RNAcentral describes it as "partial 16S ribosomal RNA". It matches the Rfam family "Bacterial small subunit ribosomal RNA", at positions 28 to 507 of the family's 1533-position model. The record is from RNAcentral.